Molecule: ribosomal RNA, 751 nt
Filed under: Salmonella enterica subsp. enterica serovar Thompson
Lineage: Bacteria; Pseudomonadati; Pseudomonadota; Gammaproteobacteria; Enterobacterales; Enterobacteriaceae
Also listed under: 1 other name
Description: partial 23S ribosomal RNA
Rfam family: Bacterial large subunit ribosomal RNA
Source: RNAcentral
GGAGCCGACCUUGAAAUACCACCCUUUAAUGUUUGAUGUUCUAACGUGGACCCGUAAUCCGGGUUGCGGACAGUGUCUGGUGGGUAGUUUGACUGGGGCGGUCUCCUCCUAAAGAGUAACGGAGGAGCACGAAGGUUGGCUAAUCCUGGUCGGACAUCAGGAGGUUAGUGCAAUGGCAUAAGCCAGCUUGACUGCGAGCGUGACGGCGCGAGCAGGUGCGAAAGCAGGUCAUAGUGAUCCGGUGGUUCUGAAUGGAAGGGCCAUCGCUCAACGGAUAAAAGGUACUCCGGGGAUAACAGGCUGAUACCGCCCAAGAGUUCAUAUCGACGGCGGUGUUUGGCACCUCGAUGUCGGCUCAUCACAUCCUGGGGCUGAAGUAGGUCCCAAGGGUAUGGCUGUUCGCCAUUUAAAGUGGUACGCGAGCUGGGUUUAGAACGUCGUGAGACAGUUCGGUCCCUAUCUGCCGUGGGCGCUGGAGAACUGAGGGGGGCUGCUCCUAGUACGAGAGGACCGGAGUGGACGCAUCACUGGUGUUCGGGUUGUCAUGCCAAUGGCACUGCCCGGUAGCUAAAUGCGGAAGAGAUAAGUGCUGAAAGCAUCUAAGCACGAAACUUGCCCCGAGAUGAGUUCUCCCUGAGACUUAGAGUCUCCUGAAGGAACGUUGAAGACGACGACGUUGAUAGGCCGGGUGUGUAAGCGCAGCGAUGCGUUGAGCUAACCGGUACUAAUGAACCGUGAGGCUUAACCUUAC